RNAcentral lists this ribosomal RNA (496 nucleotides) under uncultured bacterium. RNAcentral describes it as "partial 16S ribosomal RNA". It matches the Rfam family "Bacterial small subunit ribosomal RNA", at positions 28 to 506 of the family's 1533-position model. The record is from RNAcentral.
GAUGAACGCUGGCGGCGUGCCUAAUACAUGCAAGUCGAGCGAACAGAUGAGGAGCUUGCUCCUCUGACGUUAGCGGCUGACGGGUGAGUAACACGUGGAUAACCUACCUAUAAGACUGGGAUAACUUCGGGAAACCGGAGCUAAUACCGGAUAAUAUAUUGAACCGCAUGGUUCAAUAGUGAAAGACGGUUUUGCUGUCACUUAUAGAUGGAUCCGCGCCGCAUUAGCUAGUUGGUAAGGUAACGGCUUACCAAGGCGACGAUGCGUAGCCGACCUGAGAGGGUGAUCGGCCACACUGGAACUGAGACACGGUCCAGACUCCUACGGGAGGCAGCAGUAGGGAAUCUUCCGCAAUGGGCGAAAGCCUGACGGAGCAACGCCGCGUGAGUGAUGAAGGUCUUCGGAUCGUAAAACUCUGUUAUUAGGGAAGAACAAAUGUGUAAGUAACUAUGCACGUCUUGACGGUACCUAAUCAGAAAACCACGGCUAACUACGU